RNAcentral lists this ribosomal RNA (330 nucleotides) under uncultured eukaryote. RNAcentral's name for it is "partial 18S ribosomal RNA". It matches the Rfam family "Eukaryotic small subunit ribosomal RNA", at positions 1470 to 1796 of the family's 1831-position model. The record is from RNAcentral.
CCCUUAGAUGUCCGGGGCCGCACGCGCGCUACACUGAAGGAAUCAGCGUGGCUCUGUCCCUGGUCCGAAAGGAUUGGGAAACCCGUUGAAUCUCCUUCGUGAUAGGGAUUGGGGCUUGGAACUGUUCCCCAUGAACGAGGAAUUCCCAGUAAGCGCGAGUCAUAAGCUCGCGUUGAUUACGUCCCUGCCCUUUGUACACACCGCCCGUCGCUCCUACCGAUUGAAUGGUCCGGUGAAGCGUUCGGACCGUGGCCUUUGGACGGUUCGCCGUCUGUUGGCUGCGGGAAGUUCGUUAAACCUUAUCAUUUAGAGGAAGGAGAANUCGUAACA